RNAcentral lists this ribosomal RNA (465 nucleotides) under Vreelandella stevensii. Its description in RNAcentral is "partial 16S ribosomal RNA". It matches the Rfam family "Bacterial small subunit ribosomal RNA", at positions 338 to 795 of the family's 1533-position model. The record is from RNAcentral. Lineage: Bacteria; Pseudomonadati; Pseudomonadota; Gammaproteobacteria; Oceanospirillales; Halomonadaceae.
CCUACGGGGGGCAGCAGUGGGGAAUAUUGGACAAUGGGGGGAACCCUGAUCCAGCCAUGCCGCGUGUGUGAAGAAGGCCCUCGGGUUGUAAAGCACUUCCAGUGAGGAAGAACGCCUGGUGGUUAAUACCCAUCAGGAAAGACAUCACUCACAGAAGAAGCACCGGCUAACUCCGUGCCAGCAGCCGCGGUAAUACGGAGGGUGCGAGCGUUAAUCGGAAUUACUGGGCGUAAAGCGCGCGUAGGUGGCUUGAUAAGCCGGUUGUGAAAGCCCCGGGCUCAACCUGGGAACGGCAUCCGGAACUGUCAAGCUAGAGUGCAGGAGAGGAAGGUAGAAUUACCGGUGUAGCGGUGAAAUGCGUAGAGAUCGGGAGGAAUACCAGUGGCGAAGGCGGCCUUCUGGACUGACACUGACACUGAGGUGCGAAAGCGUGGGUAGCAAACAGGAUUAGAUACCCCAGUAGUC